AACGAACGCUGGCGGCAUGCCUAACACAUGCGAGCCGAACGAGACCUUCGGGUCUAGUGGCGCACGGGUGCGUAACGCGUGGGAACCUGCCCUUAGGUUCGGAAUAACUCCCCGAAAGGGGUGCUAAUACCGGAUAAUGUCUUCGGACCAAAGAUUUAUCGCCUUUGGAUGGGCCCGCGUUGGAUUAGCUAGUUGGUAGGGUAAAAGCCUACCAAGGCGACGAUCCAUAGCUGGUCUGAGAGGAUGAUCAGCCACACUGGGACUGAGACACGGCCCAGACUCCUACGGGAGGCAGCAGUGGGGAAUAUUGGACAAUGGGCGAAAGCCUGAUCCAGCAAUGCCGCGUGAGUGAUGAAGGCCUUAGGGUUGUAAAGCUCUUUUACCCGGGAUGAUAAUGACAGUACCGGGAGAAUAAGCUCCGGCUAACUCCGUG
Molecule: ribosomal RNA, 433 nt
Filed under: uncultured bacterium
Lineage: Bacteria
Description: partial 16S ribosomal RNA
Rfam family: Bacterial small subunit ribosomal RNA
Source: RNAcentral